UACGUAGGGUCCAAGCGUUAAUCGGAAUUACUGGGCGUAAAGCGUGCGCAGGCGGUGAUGUAAGACAGGUGUGAAAUCCCCGGGCUUAACCUGGGAACUGCAUUUGUGACUGCAUCGCUGGAGUGCGGCAGAGGGGGAUGGAAUUCCGCGUGUAGCAGUGAAAUGCGUAGAUAUGCGGAGGAACACCGAUGGCGAAGGCAAUCCCCUGGGCCUGCACUGACGCUCAUGCACGAAAGCGUGGGGAGCAAACAGG
RNAcentral lists this ribosomal RNA (253 nucleotides) under uncultured bacterium. Its description in RNAcentral is "partial 16S ribosomal RNA". It matches the Rfam family "Bacterial small subunit ribosomal RNA", at positions 524 to 776 of the family's 1533-position model. The record is from RNAcentral.